CACAGAGCUCACACAUGAGAGCCCAAACACUUUUUGAGGACUUUGGGGAAAGCAGGAAGGCCGGACAGCAGUACCUACAGGGGCCAAUGGAUCCAAGGAGAAGGCCCAGCGAAAGGAAGGACCCAGCAGCUCCCCCUUGCCAGCGCUGGAGACCCUGGCUCUGGGGCCCAGUCCCAGCCCUAGUCCAGCAGCGACGGACAGUGCAUCAGUCAAGGGCACUGCUCACCUCCCUCCGGACCCAACCGCCAUGAAGGCCAAAGCCGAGCCCCCAUGCAGGCCAGCUCACGUCCCAUUCUGCCAUGUCUCGGGCUGGAGCGAAUUGUAUUGAUAGAAAAUAAAAUGUCGACAUAAAAAAGAAU
Molecule: long non-coding RNA, 359 nt
Filed under: Homo sapiens (human)
Lineage: Eukaryota; Metazoa; Chordata; Mammalia; Primates; Hominidae
Description: HSALNT0269896
Source: RNAcentral